This 328-nucleotide ribosomal RNA is filed under the name uncultured Pseudomonadota bacterium. RNAcentral describes it as "bacterial SSU rRNA". It matches the Rfam family "Bacterial small subunit ribosomal RNA", at positions 30 to 351 of the family's 1533-position model. The record is from RNAcentral. Lineage: Bacteria; Pseudomonadati; Pseudomonadota.
AUUGAACGCUGGCGGUAUGCUUAACACAUGCAAGUCGAACGGCAGCAUGAUGUGUAGCAAUACACAUUGAUGGCGAGUGGCGGACGGGUGAGAAACGCGUAGGAAUCUGCCUUACAGAGGGGGACAACUAGAGGAAACUCUAGCUAAUACCGCGUAAUGUCUAAGGACUAAAGGCUGGGUAGCAAUACCUGGCGCUGUAAGAGGAGCCUGCGUCCGAUUAGCUAGUUGGUAGGGUAAGAGCCUACCAAGGCGAUGAUCGGUAGCUGGUCUGAGAGGAUGAUCAGCCACACUGGGACUGAGACACGGUCCAGACUCCUACGGGUGGCUG